CGAACGCUGGCGGCGUGCUUAACACAUGCAAGUCGAGCGGUAAGGCCUUUCGGGGUACACGAGCGGCGCACGGGUGAGUAACACGUGGGUGAUCUGCCCUGCACUUCGGGAUAAGCCUGGGAAACUGGGUCUAAUACCGGAUAUGACCUCCUAUCGCAUGGUGGGUGGUGGAAAGAUUUAUCGGUGCAGGAUGGGCCCGCGGCCUAUCAGCUUGUUGGUGGGGUAAUGGCCUACCAAGGCGACGACGGGUAGCCGACCUGAGAGGGUGACCGGCCACACUGGGACUGAGACACGGCCCAGACUCCUACGGGAGGCAGCAGUGGGGAAUAUUGCACAAUGGGCGAAAGCCUGAUGCAGCGACGCCGCGUGAGGGAUGACGGCCUUCGGGUUGUAAACCUCUUUCAGCAGGGACGAAGCGCAAGUGACGGUACCUGCAGAAGAAGCACCGGCUAACUACGUG
This 460-nucleotide ribosomal RNA is filed under the name uncultured bacterium. Its description in RNAcentral is "partial 16S ribosomal RNA". It matches the Rfam family "Bacterial small subunit ribosomal RNA", at positions 30 to 507 of the family's 1533-position model. The record is from RNAcentral.